AUUUUUUACAAUGGGCGCAAGCCUGAUCCAGCCAUGCCGCGUGAGUGAAGAAGGCAUUCGGGUAGUACCGCUCUUUCGGACGGCAAGAAAACGCGCUGGCGAAUACCCUACGCGGAUGACGGUACCGUCAUAAGAAGCACCGGCUAACUACGUGCCGUCAGCCGCGGUAAUACGUAGGGUGCGAGCGUUAAUCGGAAUUACUGGGCGUAAAGGGUGCGCAGGCGGUUGAUUAAGACAGGCGUGAAAUCCCCGGGCUUAACCUGGGAACUGCGCUUGUGACUGGUCAGCUAGAGUACGGAAGAGGGGGGUGGAAUUCCACGUGUAGCAGUGAAAUGCGUAGAGAUGUGGAGGAACACCGAUAGCGAAGGCAGCCCCCUGGGCCGAUACUGACGCUAAUGCACGAAAGCGUGGGUAGCAAACAGG
RNAcentral lists this ribosomal RNA (423 nucleotides) under uncultured bacterium. RNAcentral's name for it is "partial 16S ribosomal RNA". It matches the Rfam family "Bacterial small subunit ribosomal RNA", at positions 361 to 776 of the family's 1533-position model. The record is from RNAcentral.